GACGAACGCUGGCGGCGUGCUUAACACAUGCAAGUCGAACGGAAAGGCCCUGCUUUCGCGUGGUGUCCGAGUGGCGAACGGGUGUGUAACACGUGAGUCUCCUGCCCUUGACUUUGGGAUAACUUCAGGAAACUGGUGCUACUACAGGAUAGGUGCUCCUGCUGCAUGGUGGGGGUUGGAACGUUUGGGAUGUUGGGGAUGGAUGUGCGGUUAAACAGUUUGUUGGUGGGGUAGCGGCUUACCAAGGGUUUGAUGGAUAGCCGGCCUGAGAGGGUGAACAGCCACAUUACGACUGAGAGACGGCCCAGACUCGUACGGGAGGCAGCAGUGGAAAAUAUUACACAAUGAGCGCAAGCCUGAGACAGCAGCGCCGCGAGCGGAAUGACCGCCUUCGGGGGGUAAACCGCUUUCGCCUGUGACGAAGCGGGUGUGACGGUAAUGAGUAAAGAAGCACCGGCUAACUACGUG
Molecule: ribosomal RNA, 468 nt
Filed under: uncultured bacterium
Lineage: Bacteria
Description: partial 16S ribosomal RNA
Rfam family: Bacterial small subunit ribosomal RNA
Source: RNAcentral